GUAACAGGAAGCAGCUUGCUGCUUCGCUGACGAGUGGCGGACGGGUGAGUAAUGUCUGGGAAACUGCCUGAUGGAGGGGGAUAACUACUGGAAACGGUAGCUAAUACCGCAUAACGUCGCAAGACCAAAGAGGGGGACCUUCGGGCCUCUUGCCAUCGGAUGUGCCCAGAUGGGAUUAGCUAGUAGGUGGGGUAACGGCUCACCUAGGCGACGAUCCCUAGCUGGUCUGAGAGGAUGACCAGCCACACUGGAACUGAGACACGGUCCAGACUCCUACGGGAGGCAGCAGUGGGGAAUAUUGCACAAUGGGCGCAAGCCUGAUGCAGCCAUGCCGCGUGUAUGAAGAAGGCCUUCGGGUUGUAAAGUACUUUCAGCGGGGAGGAAGGCGRUAAGGUUAAUAACCUCAUCAAUUGACGUUACCC
RNAcentral lists this ribosomal RNA (422 nucleotides) under Enterobacter cloacae. RNAcentral's name for it is "bacterial SSU rRNA". It matches the Rfam family "Bacterial small subunit ribosomal RNA", at positions 69 to 480 of the family's 1533-position model. The record is from RNAcentral. Lineage: Bacteria; Pseudomonadati; Pseudomonadota; Gammaproteobacteria; Enterobacterales; Enterobacteriaceae.